Molecule: ribosomal RNA, 493 nt
Filed under: uncultured bacterium
Lineage: Bacteria
Description: partial 16S ribosomal RNA
Rfam family: Bacterial small subunit ribosomal RNA
Source: RNAcentral
AUUGAACGCUGGCGGCAUGCUUUACACAUGCAAGUCGAACGGUAACAGGUUAAGCUGACGAGUGGCGAACGGGUGAGUAAUGCAUCGGAACGUGCCCAGUCGUGGGGGAUAACGCAACGAAAGCUGCGCUAAUACCGCAUACGAUCUGAUGAUGAAAGCGGGGGACCGUAAGGCCUCGCGCGAUCGGAGCGGGCGAUGGCAGAUUAGGUAGUUGGGGGGGUAAGGGCCCACAAAGCCAACGAUCUGUAGCUGGGCUGAGAGGACGACCAGCCACACUGGGACUGAGACACGGCCCAGACUCCUACGGGAGGCAGCAGUGGGGAAUUUUGGACAAUGGGCGAAAGCCUGAUCCAGCAAUGCCGCGUGCAGGAAGAAGGCCUUCGGGUUGUAAACUGCUUUUGUACGGAGCGAAAAGGUCUCCUCUAAUACAGGGGGCUCAUGACGGUACCGUAAGAAUAAGCACCGGCUAACUACGUGCCAGCAGCCGCCGCCG